CCUACGGGUGGCAGCAGUGAGGAAUAUUGGUCAAUGGUCGGGAGUCUGAACCAGCCAAGCCGCGUGAGGGAGGACGGUACAGAGUAUCGUAAACCUCUUUUGUACGGGAACAAAGACUGAGACGCGUCUCCGGAUGAGAGUACCUGACGAAAAAGCAUCGGCUAACUCCGUGCCAGCAGCCGCGGUAAUACGGAGGAUUCGAGCGUUAUCCGGAUUUAUUGGGUUUAAAGGGUGCGGAGGCGGUCUGUUAAGUUAGCGGGUAAAGCCCGGGGCUCAACCCCGGACUCGCCUUUGAUACUGGCAGUCUAGAGUGGGGGAGAGGUAGGCGGAAUGCGCGGUGUAGCGGUGAAAUGCAUAGAGAGCGCGCAGAACUCCGAUUGCGAAGGCAGCAUGCCGGCUCCACACUGACGCUGAGGCACGAAAGCGUGGGUAGCGAACAGGAUUAGAUACCCUGGUAGUC
RNAcentral lists this ribosomal RNA (460 nucleotides) under uncultured bacterium. RNAcentral describes it as "partial 16S ribosomal RNA". It matches the Rfam family "Bacterial small subunit ribosomal RNA", at positions 338 to 795 of the family's 1533-position model. The record is from RNAcentral.